UGAAUACGAGAUGCUACGGCGUCGAAGCAGUGUAUGUCAGACUUCCAAGAAAAGCUCGCAAUGUCAUAAAUAAAGAAUGCCUGUACCAUAACCGACACAGGUGGGUAAGUAGAGUAUACUAAGGGGCGCGAGAUAACUCUCUCUAAGGAACUCGGCAAAAUAACUCCGUAACUUCGGGAGAAGGAGUGCCUUCUUUAAGAAGGUUGCAAUAACAAGAUCCAAGCAACUGUUUAUCAAAAACACAGGUCUCCGCUAAGUCGUAAGACGAUGUAUGGGGGCUGACGCCUGCCCAGUGCCAGAAGGUUAAAGAAGUUGGUUAGCUUUUGCGAAGCUGAUGACUGAAGCCCUGGUGAACGGCGGCCGUAACUAUAACGGUCCUAAGGUAGCGAAAUUCCUUGUCGGGUAAGUUCCGACCCGCACGAAAGGCGUAAUGAUUUGGAUACUGUCUCGGAGAGGGACUCGGUGAAAUAGACUUGUCUGUGAAGGUGCGGACUACCUGCACCAGGACAGAAAGACCCUAUGAAGCUUUACUGUAACUUGAAAUCGAAAUUGGACUUUAUUUGCGCAGUAUAGGUGGAAGGCGUUGAAAGUAAUCUUGCGGGAUUAGUGGAGCCAUCAGUGAGAUACCACUCCUAUAAUGUUAGAUUUCUAACUUUGGAUCAUGAUCUGGUCAAAGAACAGUUUCAGGCGGGCAGUUUGACUGGGGCGGUCGCCUCCCAAAUGGUAACGGAGGCGUACAAAGGUUUCCUCUGAACGGGUAGAAAUCGUAUCUAGAGUGUAAAGGCAUAAGGAAGCUUGACUGUGAGACCUACAAGUCGAGCAGGGACGAAAGUCGGUCUUAGUGAUCUGACGGUGCUGAGUGGAAAGGCCGUCACUCAACGGAUAAAAGUUACUCUAGGAUAACAGGCUGAUCUCCCCCAAGAGUUCACAUCGACGGGGAGGUUUGGCACCUCGAUGUCGGCUCAUCGCAUCCUGGGGCGGUAGUACGUCCCAAGGGUUGGGCUGUUCGCCCAUGAAAGCGGUACGCGAGCUGGGUUCAGAACGUCGUGAGACAGUUCGGUCCAUAUCCGGUGUAGGCGUUAGAGUAUUGAGAGGAGCCUUCUUUAGUACGAGAGGACCGAGAAGGACAUACCUCUGGUGUACCAGUUAUCGUGCCAACGGUAAACGCUGGGUAGCUAUGUAUGGAGAGGAUAACCGCUGAAAGCAUCUAAGUGGGAAGCCCACCUCAAGAUGAGUAUUCU
This 1241-nucleotide ribosomal RNA is filed under the name metagenome. RNAcentral describes it as "bacterial LSU rRNA". It matches the Rfam family "Bacterial large subunit ribosomal RNA", at positions 1564 to 2814 of the family's 2925-position model. The record is from RNAcentral.